AUACAGCUGACGAGUUCCAAACAGGACGAAACGCGCGUCCCGGAU
This 45-nucleotide non-coding RNA is filed under the name Schistosoma mattheei. Lineage: Eukaryota; Metazoa; Platyhelminthes; Trematoda; Strigeidida; Schistosomatidae. The record is from RNAcentral.